UACGUAGGGGGCAAGCGUUGUCCGGAUUUAUUGGGCGUAAAGAGCUCGUAGGUGGUUCGGUAAGUCGGAUGUGAAAUCUCCAGGCUCAACCUGGAGGGGUCAUUCGAUACUGCCGUGACUAGAGGUCGGUAGGGGAGUGUGGAAUUCCUGGUGGAGCGGUGAAAUGCGCAGAUAUCAGGAGGAACACCCGUAGCGAAGGCGGCAUCCUGGACCGACACUGACGCUGAGGAGCGAAAGCCAGGGGAGCAAACGGG
RNAcentral lists this ribosomal RNA (254 nucleotides) under uncultured bacterium. Its description in RNAcentral is "partial 16S ribosomal RNA". It matches the Rfam family "Bacterial small subunit ribosomal RNA", at positions 524 to 776 of the family's 1533-position model. The record is from RNAcentral.